Molecule: ribosomal RNA, 814 nt
Filed under: Rhizobium leguminosarum
Lineage: Bacteria; Pseudomonadati; Pseudomonadota; Alphaproteobacteria; Hyphomicrobiales; Rhizobiaceae
Description: bacterial SSU rRNA
Rfam family: Bacterial small subunit ribosomal RNA
Source: RNAcentral
CAAGUCGAGCGCCCCGCAAGGGGAGCGGCAGACGGGUGAGUAACGCGUGGGAAUCUACCCUUGACUACGGAAUAACGCAGGGAAACUUGUGCUAUACCGUAUGUGUCCUUCGGGAGAAAGAUUUAUCGGUCAAGGAUGAGCCCGCGUUGGAUUAGCUAGUUGGUGGGGUAAAGGCCUACCAAGGCGACGAUCCAUAGCUGGUCUGAGAGGAUGAUCAGCCACAUUGGGAAGAGACACGGCCCAAACUCCUACGGGAGGCAGCAGUGGGGAAUAUUGGACAAUGGGCGCAAGCCUGAUCGAGCCAUGACGCGUGAGUGAAGAAGGCCUUAGGGUUGUAAAGCUCUUUCACCGGAGAAGAUAAUGACGGUAUCCGGAGAAGAAGCCCCGGCUAACUUCGUGCCGGCAGCCGCGGUAAUACGAAGGGGGCUAGCGUUGUUCGGAAUUACUGGGCGUAAAGCGCACGUAGCCGGAUCGAUCAGUCAGGGGUGAAAUCCCAGGGCUCAACCCUGGAACUGCCUUUGAUACUGUCGAUCUGGAGUAUGGAAGAGGUGAGUGGAAUUCCGAGUGUAGAGGUGAAAUUCGUAGAUAUUCGGAGGAACACCANUGGCGAAGGCGGCUCACUGGUCCAUUACUGACGCUGAGGUGCGAAAGCGUGGGAAGCAAGACAGAAUAAGAUAACCUGGUAGUCCACGCCGUAAACGAUGAAUGUUAGCCGUCGGGCAGUAUACUGUUCGGUGGCGCAGCUAACGCAUUAAACAUUCCGCCUGGGGAGUACGGUCGCAAGAUUAAAACUCAAAGGAAUUGACGGGGGCCC